UGUCUUUGAGUGGGGGACAACCCAGGGAAACUUGGGCUAAUACCGCAUAAGCCCUGAGGGGGAAAGCGGGGGAUCUUCGGACCUCGCGCUGGAAGAGGAGCCUACGUCUGAUUAGCUAGUUGGUAGGGUAAAGGCCUACCAAGGCGACGAUCGGUAGCUGGUCUGAGAGGACGACCAGCCACACUGGGACUGAGACACGGCCCAGACUCCUACGGGAGGCAGCAGUGGGGAAUUUUUCGCAAUGGGGGCAACCCUGACGAAGCAAUGCCGCGUGAAUGAAGAAGGCCUUCGGGUUGUAAAGUUCUUUCGUGGAGGACGAAAAGGUGGGUGCUAAUAUCGCCUGCUGUUGACGUGAAUCCAAGAAGAAGCACCGGCUAACUCCGUGCCAGCAGCCGCGGUAAUACGGGGGGUGCAAGCGUUAAUCGGAAUCACUGGGCGUAAAGGGUGCGUAGGCGGUGCAUUAGGUCUGUCGUGAAAUCCCCGGGCUCAACCUGGGAAUGGCGGUGGAAACCGGUGUACUAGAGUAUGGGAGAGGGUGGUGGAAUUCCAGGUGUAGCGGUGAAAUGCGUAGAGAUCUGGAGGAACAUCAGUGGCGAAGGCGGCCACCUGGCCCAAUACUGACGCUGAGGCACGAAAGCGUGGGGAGCAAACA
Molecule: ribosomal RNA, 652 nt
Filed under: Acidithiobacillus thiooxidans
Lineage: Bacteria; Pseudomonadati; Pseudomonadota; Acidithiobacillia; Acidithiobacillales; Acidithiobacillaceae
Description: bacterial SSU rRNA
Rfam family: Bacterial small subunit ribosomal RNA
Source: RNAcentral